RNAcentral lists this ribosomal RNA (484 nucleotides) under uncultured bacterium. Its description in RNAcentral is "partial 16S ribosomal RNA". It matches the Rfam family "Bacterial small subunit ribosomal RNA", at positions 30 to 507 of the family's 1533-position model. The record is from RNAcentral.
AUUGAACGCUGGCGGCAUGCCUUACACAUGCAAGUCGAACGGCAGCACGGACUUCGGUCUGGUGGCGAGUGGCGAACGGGUGAGUAAUGUAUCGGAACGUACCUUUCAGUGGGGGAUAACGUAGCGAAAGUUACGCUAAUACCGCAUAUUCUGUGAGCAGGAAAGCAGGGGAUCGAAAGACCUUGCGCUGAUUGAGCGGCCGAUAUCAGAUUAGCUAGUUGGUGGGGUAAAGGCCUACCAAGGCGACGAUCUGUAGCGGGUCUGAGAGGAUGAUCCGCCACACUGGAACUGAGACACGGUCCAGACUCCUACGGGAGGCAGCAGUGGGGAAUUUUGGACAAUGGGGGCAACCCUGAUCCAGCCAUGCCGCGUGAGUGAAGAAGGCCUUCGGGUUGUAAAGCUCUUUCGGCCGGGAAGAAAUAGCAUAGGCUAAUACCCUGUGUGGAUGACGGUACCGGAAGAAGAAGCACCGGCUAACUACGUG